CCAGUCAUCCUCUGAUCUUCCCCCAUUUAUUCCAUCCCAAACAAGGAAGCCACCCAGCUAGCCCAAGCCUCCAGAAGCAGGCUCAUAUACAUCGGACGCGGGGAUCAAUGAGUUGUUUUGAAAGUCUUGUGCCCGGAUUAUCACUACCAGCCCAGUUCCAGCCUCUGUCACAGCCCAAUGUGGACCUGAGACUCUGUGUGGCCUUCAAGGUGCGUGGACACUUAGACUGCACAGUGAUCUCAUCCAGCUGGAGGAGACCGUUCUGCCACACUCAGACAUUGAAGGUGUGACGUUUGAUGGACUCUUCAAACCUCAA
Mesocricetus auratus (golden hamster) is the source of this 316-nucleotide long non-coding RNA. RefSeq lists it as uncharacterized. The transcript is spliced from 3 exons. Lineage: Eukaryota; Metazoa; Chordata; Mammalia; Rodentia; Cricetidae. The record is from RefSeq and is a predicted model, not a curated record.